Molecule: non-coding RNA, 31 nt
Filed under: Homo sapiens (human)
Lineage: Eukaryota; Metazoa; Chordata; Mammalia; Primates; Hominidae
Source: RNAcentral
UUGUAGGGGGAUACACAGGAUGAACGGGCUU